CUUGUUCAUCUGGCUCUCCCCACCCUCCUACUUUCAGACUUAUCCUUCUAGGUCAGCAAAUCUGGAGAGCCUCUCCUCUUGAUCUAGGGUCAUUAUUACAAUGAAGGGAAGAAAGGAAGACAUGAAGGGGAAAUGGGACUAUUUACCAAGUGUAUCUGCAUAGACUAAAGGAGACAAGAGGAAGUACUGAGCACCUUGAUUCCUGCAGAUAAUUAUUUAAGAACCAUAAGAAUUCUUUCCUAGCUUCUCAUAAGCCUGCUCCUUCAAAGGGUUAACUGCAGUGAAUCAAACUAUUGGAUUAUAAUUCCAUGAAGUAAGUUUAUUGAAGACAAACAGGCCUUGGGCCGCUGCCUCUGUCUCUCCUGCCUUCCCCACUGAAUCUCCAGCCCACAUUCACAAACAAAGACAAACCUGUGUAAACUGAAGCACCACAAAACUACUUUUAUGAAAGCAGAAUGGAAGCAGAUUUCACCUGCAUUUCCUACAUUCAACUGAAUCCUUUAAAUUGACUGAGGCACAUCCUGUACCAAGGAGAGACCUUUGUUACUGCCUUUGAUCCUGAGACCUUCUGAGCCAGAGGCUGGAGACUGGCAGGCAGGCAGCAUGAGCUUCUGCAGCAGCGCAGUUCUGUGAGCCAUGGCCCCUCUGUUUCUGGGUAAUCACCCUCGUCCUUGGUACCUUCUGCCUGCUCCCCUUGCAGCACUGAUCCUUCAUUCCAGGCAGAUGGAAUAAGAUCAAAGCACAAAAAAAAAAG
RNAcentral lists this long non-coding RNA (754 nucleotides) under Homo sapiens (human). RNAcentral's name for it is "HSALNT0374921". Lineage: Eukaryota; Metazoa; Chordata; Mammalia; Primates; Hominidae. The record is from RNAcentral.